Molecule: ribosomal RNA, 433 nt
Filed under: uncultured bacterium
Lineage: Bacteria
Description: partial 16S ribosomal RNA
Rfam family: Bacterial small subunit ribosomal RNA
Source: RNAcentral
AACGAACGCUGGCGGCAUGCCUAACACAUGCAAGUCGAACGAGGCCUUCGGGUCUAGUGGCGCACGGGUGCGUAACGCGUGGGAACCUGCCCUUAGGUUCGGAAUAACUCCCCGAAAGGGGUGCUAAUACCGGAUAAUGUCUUCGGACCAAAGAUUUAUCGCCUUUGGAUGGGCCCGCGUUGGAUUAGCUAGUUGGUAGGGUAAAAGCCUACCAAGGCGACGAUCCAUAGCUGGUCUGAGAGGAUGAUCAGCCACACUGGGACUGAGACACGGCCCAGACUCCUACGGGAGGCAGCAGUGGGGAAUAUUGGGCAAUGGGCGAAAGCCUGAUCCAGCAAUGCCGCGUGAGUGAUGAAGGCCUUAGGGUUGUAAAGCUCUUUUACCCGGGAUGAUAAUGACAGUACCGGGAGAAUAAGCGCCGGCUAACUCCGUG